Molecule: long non-coding RNA, 6731 nt
Organism: Gallus gallus (chicken)
Lineage: Eukaryota; Metazoa; Chordata; Aves; Galliformes; Phasianidae
Source: Ensembl
UACCUUAUAGUUUUGCCACUUCCUAAUAGCCUUCUCCUUUAUUCCUAUGCUUUUUUUCCAAUAUGCAUCUUUUACAAAAAACUGUUGAAGAGCUUUGCUUUUGUAUACAGAAGAGUACAUUUUGAUGGCAACAACAAAACAAAGUUGAAAUUUAUUAGUGGAAACAAUGUAAGCACAAAUAGCUGCAUAAAAAUACCAUUUUUUACAGUUGAUAUUUCAUGAUUCUCUAGCUGAAGAGACACAACUUGUAGGAAACAACAGCUUCAUUUUCCCCCUUGCUAAAAAAGAAGCUGGUGUCAAUGUAAGGAUCAUGGGACUAUUUUCAACAUUGUUGUACUCUAUCAACUCCGCUGAGCUGUUACUGAGCCAGUCCAAGCAGCAUCACCUGGAGGAUUUUGUGGAGGAAAUGGGCUAAAGGAGGCUCUGGCAUUUGUUGGCUGUGGAUGGACCUCUGCACAGGAGUAUGGAGGUAUUAAUGGGCCAGGAAUAUACUGUAUUUCAGAAAGUGACCUCAAAGGGCUUAGCAUUGCUCGGGUUGGAAAAGGCUUUAAAGAUCAUCUAGUCCAACCACAACCUAACCAAACUGCCCCAGCUUUUAACAACCCUCCACUAAAUCAUGUCCCUGGCUUGGGGAUGGGGAAGUUCCUUCAUUACUCCACAGCAAUGAGAAUGUCUCAGUUGUUUUCUUUCAAUUCCUCUUUUCCAACCCACUCAGCCUGAGCAGGCCCUACUCAGGCUAAAUCUGGUGCAAAUGGAUUCAAUGCCAGGAAUUGGCAUCCUCAGCUCUGAUUAAGGUAGAAUCUGUCAGUUCUAAAAGGGUGUGCAGAAGUCUACUUGCCCCCAGGAAUAGAGGUGAAGGGGCAGGGGAGAGCAGGAAGAUUUAUGUUGUCAGUUCUCAUGUUUUACAUGAUCUGGAUUCCAGAGAUGACACCUUACAAUGACUUGGCCCUUUGCCAUUAUGUCUCUACAUUCCCCCUCUCCUAUCAUGCCGUGUGUAGCAGAUACCCUUCAUAUAUACAGGUGAAGACCAAAGAGUACCAAAAUGGCUUUGCAAGUAGUUUUCAAAUAACUGUGGAAAUCAGACCAUAGGUCAGAACCAUCCUGCCCAAAGUUGUUGCUCAGCCCAAGGAGGAAAGUUCCACAUUCUUCUUGUUCCUGAUGACUACUUGAUUCUGCAAACAAAUGUAAGUACUUUUCCCUUAAUGAAUGCAUUGCAAAAUGGAAUCAUUAUUUUUUCCCUAAAUGCAUCAACCACAGAAAUUUCAGUAAAUUGUGUCUGCUCUUUCUACAACACUGAAUCAAAAUGUCAAACCACCACAACUCAAUUAUAGGAGAGGAAAUAAAGCAACAGGCUGAAUACCAGUCAGUUAUUUACAAAAUACUUCAAAUUGCUACUGCCGUAACUACCUGUGGGAAAUGAGAAUAGACAAGAGCAUAGAUUUGGAUGUGGGUAAACUGACUCAGAGCAACUUGUUUGCAAAGUUAUAGAAUUCAAAUUUUCACUCCUCCUGGGCUUUAUAGAUCAGUUGCUUCCUUUGGUCUGUUGCUGUUCUUACUAGAAAGUAUUUUAGUUGAGAAGUGAGGGGAGAGAAAGAAAAUCAGAACUCACAUACUCAGUUUUUAAAACAGGUAGAGGAACUUGUUGUUUUUUGUUUCAAUGUCCUUUUUUCUGUACAUUUCCAUUCUUUAAAAAAAAAAAAAUCAGUCAUCCCCAAACCCACAGUGGAGACAGUAUUGCAGGUGAAGCAUUUUUCUUUGCGGUUUUUGAGAAGAUAUAAAUGCCUUGUUUUACUGAUGCUGAGAGAUAAGGUGCAGUAACUUUAAUGUUGCAUGAGGUCAGAUCUCAUUGUUUCAUAGUGAAUGAAAAGCCAAGUAUUUCCAGUAAGGUAAAUAAAUUUAUGAGGGAUGCAGCAAACUCAGAAUCUCUACAAAGCUACUGGGAGAGACAGCCUGUGAGUGACAUGCAAGUGUUUUCCCUCAAGUUCUGAUGGGUUUUGGAGUUUCAAGUCUUGGACCUGACUCUUCACUUCACGGCUGAUGGGUGGCAGUUGUUUUGAAGGUCCCUCCAGUACAUCAUAGCUGUAGAGCUUGCUCCACUCGAGGAAAAUAAUGUUCCUUGGAGGUUGUCUGCUGGUACUGAUUCAUAUUUAUCAGCUUGGCAACAGUAAAUGAGAUGAGGAACUGAAGAGUUCUUGGUAGUAGUAGCAUUUCAGUAAAGUAAUUUUCUAAUUUACUCAGAAGAUUACAGUAUCUUAAAAACAAAACAACAAAAGUGGUGGUACUGAGCAGUCACUUUGUAGCGUUAAUCACGAGAUGUGUGGAAUAACGCUUUUGCUCACCAAGUAAUUGCUAGCUAUGAGCCAGUUAAAACAAACAAACAAAAAAGUCAUAGAACAUUACAUUCUGUGUAUCUGCAUACAUAUCUUCUCUGGAAUAGCAUGAGGAAGCAUAAAAUAUUCCAGGACAGAGAAUAAUUUUUGUGCUAGUUAGGAGUUUAAGUUUAUGCUAUCUAAAAUAUAUCUCCUAUUGUAACAAUAUUUUUGCUUUAAACAUUUGUUGCCGCUCUCUGGUAUCUCUUGAUGGUGUUCGUCCUCUGUCUGCUAAGGACACUGCAACUCAGCGAAACUGACCCUGACCAGGUCGGGGCCAAAUGCUCACACGGACCCCAGAAGCAAGCGAGGCAAAAUGACGUUUAUUGCUACGUGCUGCGUGUUUAAGUACAGAUACCUCCGCCAAUCAUAAAGCGAUACUUGGCAUUCACAUAUGGCAUAGGGAGCCUGUACGCGUCACAUCCCGUUUUCCUUGCCACGCCUACUACAUCUCCCCCUCCCUAUGCCGACAUCUCCCAUCACCUCACACGCGGAGCUUACAGCUGAUCCCUAAUCCUAUGAUAUUUUAUGCGUUCAUCCAUAAACUGAUACAUUGUCCUCGACAAGACAAUCCUGGAAGCACCUGAUUAUACAUGGAAUGAUAGCUGCUAUAAAGAUAAUGACAAGCAAUGCGAACGCUAGCGUCUUGACACCCUGCGCGAGCCACUCUCCGAUAUUGCCGAAUGUGCGUUUAAACCAAUCCCCUAUGGGAUCGUCGUUCAUCUGAAUCUUCUCCGUAUGUUCCUUCAUAGCUUGAAGCGCUUUGUGAAUGGACACACUAUGAUCGCUAAGAUUGAAGCAACACAUCCCCUCUACGUCUUCACACCCGUGUCCUUGUGCUAGGAGUAAGAAAUUGAUGGCCGCUCGAUUUUGCAACACCGCGUGCCGGACGCUGUUCGUGUCCUCCAACAUCGCAUUCAAUAUUAAUGUUAAAUUCGCUUGCCUAACCGACCAACAUGCUAAGCGCUCAAUCUCCUUCAAGGCCUGCGCCGCAGCUACACCUGGAGCAAAGAAAGAAGCAAAUAUCCGGGCUGUCGCACUCCAUAGCUGUACCUCGUCAUUGCAGUCAGGCGGGAGCAAACUCGACAAGCACCUGCUGCGGCGGUGCCCCGUAAUGUUCGGCCCAUACAUCAUCCAGGUGGUAAAGUUAGGAGAAAGCACAGUCAACUGUCCUAGAUAACAGGGCCCUCCCAAGGCAUUGCGCGGGAUACCCUGCCAAGCUCUGUCCCCGCAAAUCAAGAAAAUACCCGGGGGGAGUGCUUUAGCCGACGUGUUGUUCCACAGAGAUUCACCGGAAAGCCCGAACCCCUGGAAGUAGUCCGAAUGACAAACGCCGGAGUGUUCCAUCUACUAAGCGAAGGUUCAAUAUGACCCAUGCGAAGCUCCUGGGUUACUAAGGUUUGCAAAGCAUUAAGUUUCUCUGCUGAUAAGGGCCACUGGUCCACCCACACAGGACGGGUGUCCGGUUUCCAGCGCAAAGGAAUAGCAUAUCGUGCUGACAAUUGGCAGACCGUGGCCCCCACUAUAAAUUUGUAAUGCGAGCGCUUAUCAGUCGCAAGAAGUCUCGCCCCAGAAGAGUUCCGGGGACACGCGCUACUAACGGUGUAAGCAAUGCUGGUUUCUCCAAGGAGCCAUCCCUAUUAAUAACAACCACUUGUACCUCAUUAAGAGACCGCUGUGAGGGGGUCGCCCCUCCAACCCCCAUAAUAGACUGCGAGGCCCCCGUAGGCCACGAAGGUGGCCACUCCGUUUCCGCGACCACAGUAACGUCGGCGCCGGAAUCUAUGAGGGCGGUGACAAAGAUAGAUCGAGGGCCUUGGAACUCUGGCGGGAGGUUGGUGCAAGAAAUAGUGGCCUUCACCAGAGGGCGCUCUUGAGUACUUAAGGACAGCGCCGCCAUGGGUAAGCUCAAGUCAGGGACCCGCACCAAUCGAGAAAUGGAGUUGCCGUGCGUAGGCGGUCUCCUGUCAUUAUCUCCCCGGCGUGUAGGCCUACGGGCCCUACAUUGUGGUGCCGUAUGACCCUUGCGCCCGCACUGCUGACAUGUCACCCCUCCGCCCCUGCCCAUCCUGCAUUGGGCCCUAAUAUGGCCCAACUGGCCACAUUUAAAGCAAGGUCCUAACUGUCGGUCCUUGUCACGCUGGUCCAUCUGCCUACAGGCCAUCAUCACUCCCGCUACAGCCGCGGCCACUUCCCCUGCCACGGACGGACCGGCCUUUUGCUUAUCCAAGACAUAUUUGAUGGCCUCACCGGGGGUUUGGAACCUUCCUGGCGCUGUUCUCAAAAUCCCCUGCACCCCUUCACUGGACUUCUGAUACAAGCAAUCCAGGAUGACGGGACCGUGAACCACCCUGGGCAGAUCCGAGCCUUCCACUGCCUUAAUUAACCUGUCUGCAAACUCCUGAAAUGGCUCUGUGGGGCCUUGCGCGAUCUCUGUCCAUGGAGUAGUGGGCUCAGCACUUCUUGCAAGCUUUCGGAACGCGUCUAUUGCAGCGUCCGUAGUCGCUAUCAGCUCCCCUGGUCUAAGUUGUCCAACUUGUGCUUGAAGGGUCAGCAGACCUGGGGCACUGCCCAUUAAUCUCUGUAUAUUGGACCCGUGUAUAGGGUUUCCUUGAUCACCCUGCGCCGUAAUCAGCAUUUGCUUAAUUCAGGUAUGCCACUCCUCUUUCCAGAGCAUAUACUGCACCGGUUUCAACACCAUGCGCAUUAAGUUCUCAAUAUCGUAAGGCAGCAUUGGGCCCGGUGCUAUGAGGGUCUCAAGGGCAUUCAUCGUCAACGGUGAUUUCAGCCCUUUCUUUUCUACUGCCUCAAUCAUCCUUGCUACCCCCUUUGGGUCCAGCGGGACCCAGAUUGGGCCUCCCUCCUCUGAGACAACAACUGGAAGUCUGUAAGUUGCCGCCAGGCCUUUCUCUGCCACUUCCUCUUUAAUCCGGCCCCAAUCAGUAAGCUUAGGUUUCCCUUCCUCUUUUCCUUUUGAGGACGGUCCCGCCCCCUCCUGCGAUGUCUUUACCAAAGAAGGAUAUAACGGCUGCCUAGGGGAGGGUGGGGGCGGUGACAGUGCAGUGGAAUUGGGAGGGGCCGUCGGCGCCGUCGGACAGCCCCAGAGCUUCUGCGACUCUUCUUCCUCCUUUUCGCGAUCUUCCUCCUUUACCGUCGCCAUUUUAUUCGCUGCCGUCUGAGUGCCGGACCUGCAAGACUCCAAAGACCCGCUUCCCGAAGCCCGCUCCCCACUCACGACCACCCCAAGUUUGUCCUCUUCCCUGGCCGCUUUAAGGGCUCCUGAUAUCAAUCCCCGUGUUUUGAGUUCCGUAGCUUUCUGACUAGCCAUGGCGCGUGGGCAUAGCGCCGAGGGAUGCAUCAAGAUCUGGACCAGAAUGUCUACAAUCUUGUGCUGGAUGCUAUGUGGUUCCACUGCUUUCUCCAGGCCUUCCUACCUGCUACAAGAGCGGGCAGAGGAUCAUAUGCUGUUAAUAACAAACAUUUGUGCUGAGGUGGCUAUUGCAUCUUUACAGAAUAACAUCCCACAAAUAUUACCAGAAUGACAUUCAAAGGCUGCUGAAAGCAGAGCAAAGAGCCUCAUACCUAAGGUACGCAACUUCUUACAUAUACUGCCAUCUGUCGUUCCUGCAUGCCAGUUUUAUCGCUCUGCCUGUGUGGUUUUUAUCUGUGUUUUAUCAAGGAAUCUGUUUUGCAAGAAAUCUGUUGCAAGUACAGUUGAGUUUGAAGAACUUCCGUAAUUCAUACAUGCUCUGUCUGAAAUAGUACAUAUUGAGAUUCCUUAGCCAUUUAUUCUGCUGUGUAUACCUUCAGUUCUGGCUGUGACCAAAUUUGUCUUCGUUUCGCUCAAUUUAUUUUAAUAGCAAGCUUGUCUCUCUAUUCAAACCAUAGCCAGAGCUUCCAUGUUCUGAAUCAGUUGUAUCUUUGUAGCAAAAUGUACACAGGUGUAUCAUAAGCUUGGCAUGCAUGUAUACAACUAAAAUCAUAAAACUGUAUUUCCAUAUCCUGCUCUACAUAUUUAGACUGUUUUAGAAUGUGUAUGCUUAGUUAUGGUAACAAACAUGGUACAUAUUUGUAAAUAUGUAAGCUAUAUGAUUUUUAAUGUUUAAUUGGAGUCCAGCACAUAAUCAGUGGACACCUUGCUUCCUAAAUCUAUCAAAAAAAUAUUGAGAGCGCCUUUCAAAAGCUGGCUGGAAACGAAAAACAAUUGGUGUGUAAUUGAGCAAGGAGUGAUCACCGUGCACUGGAACAGUGAUCCUAAAGCAGCCAGGUAGACAUGGAAGUCAGACACACAGUGACAAACCAGCGGGCAAGGCUCUGAAAACAACAUUCUGGUUUUUGAAAUGUUUGUGUGCUUUCUCCAAG